CCUACGGGAGGCAGCAGUGGGGAAUAUUGCACAAUGGGGGAAACCCUGAUGCAGCAACGCCGCGUGAGUGAAGAAGUAUUUCGGUAUGUAAAGCUCUAUCAGCAGGGAAGAAAAUGACAGUACCUGACUAAGAAGCCCCGGCUAACUACGUGCCAGCAGCCGCGGUAAUACGUAGGGGGCAAGCGUUAUCCGGAUUUACUGGGUGGAAAGGGAGCGUAGACGGCUGCGCAAGUCAGAAUUGAAAGCCCGGGGCUCAACCGCGGGACUGCUUUUGAAACUGUGUAGCUCGAGUGCAGGAGAGGUAAGUGGAAUUCCUAGUGUAGCGGUGAAAUGCGUAGAUAUUAGGAGGAACACCGGUGGCGAAGGCGGCUUACUGGACUGUAACUGACGUUGAGGCUCGAAAGCGUGGGGAGCAAACAGGAUUAGAUACCCGUGUAGUC
Molecule: ribosomal RNA, 440 nt
Filed under: uncultured bacterium
Lineage: Bacteria
Description: partial 16S ribosomal RNA
Rfam family: Bacterial small subunit ribosomal RNA
Source: RNAcentral